UGGGGAAUUUUGGACAAUGGGCGAAAGCCUGAUCCAGCAAUGCCGCGUGUGUGAAGAAGGCCUUCGGGUUGUAAAGCACUUUUGUCCGGAAAGAAAUCCUUGGCUCUAAUACAGUCGGGGGAUGACGGUACCGGAAGAAUAAGCACCGGCUAACUACGUGCCAGCAGCCGCGGUAAUACGUAGGGUGCAAGCGUUAAUCGGAAUUACUGGGCGUAAAGCGUGCGCAGGCGGUUUGCUAAGACCGAUGUGAAAUCCCCGGGCUCAACCUGGGAACUGCAUUGGUGACUGGCAGGCUAGAGUAUGGCAGAGGGGGGUAGAAUUCCACGUGUAGCAGUGAAAUGCGUAGAGAUGUGGAGGAAUACCGAUGGCGAAGGCAGCCCCCUGGGCCAAUACUGACGCUCAUGCACGAAAGCGUGGGGAGCAAACAGGAUUAGAUACCCUGGUAGUCCCACGCCCUAAACGAUGUCAACUAGUUGUUGGGGAUUCAUUUCCUUAGUAACGUAGCUAACGCGUGAAGUUGACCGCCUGGGGGAGUACGGUCGCAAGAUUAAAACUCAAAGGAAUUGACGGGGUCAUAGCUGUUUCCU
This 587-nucleotide ribosomal RNA is filed under the name uncultured bacterium. RNAcentral describes it as "partial 16S ribosomal RNA". It matches the Rfam family "Bacterial small subunit ribosomal RNA", at positions 355 to 1375 of the family's 1533-position model. The record is from RNAcentral.